Molecule: ribosomal RNA, 253 nt
Filed under: uncultured bacterium
Lineage: Bacteria
Description: partial 16S ribosomal RNA
Rfam family: Bacterial small subunit ribosomal RNA
Source: RNAcentral
UACGGGGGGGGUAAGCGUUGUUCGGAAUUACUGGGCGUAAAGGGCUCGUAGGCGGCCAACUAAGUCAGACGUGAAAUCCCUCAGCUUAACUGGGGAACUGCGUCUGAUACUGGAUGGCUUGGAUUCGGGAGAGGAAUGCGGAAUUCCUGGUGUAGCGGUGAAAUGCGCAGAUAUCAGGAGGAACACCGGUGGCGAAGGCGGUUCUCUGGGCAUUACCUGACGCUGAGGAGCGAAAGUGUGGGGAGCGAACAGG